RNAcentral lists this ribosomal RNA (503 nucleotides) under uncultured bacterium. RNAcentral's name for it is "partial 16S ribosomal RNA". It matches the Rfam family "Bacterial small subunit ribosomal RNA", at positions 28 to 505 of the family's 1533-position model. The record is from RNAcentral.
GACGAACGCUGGCGGCGUGCCUAAUACAUGCAAGUAGAACGCACAGUUUAUACCGUAGCUUGCUACACCAUAAACUGUGAGUUGCGAACGGGUGAGUAACGCGUAGGUAACCUGCCUGGUAGCGGGGGAUAACUAUUGGAAACGAUAGCUAAUACCGCAUAAUAUUAAUUAUUGCAUGAUAAUUGAUUGAAAGAUGCAAUUGCAUCACUACCAGAUGGACCUGCGUUGUAUUAGCUAGUAGGUGAGGUAACGGCUCACCUAGGCGACGAUACAUAGCCGACCUGAGAGGGUGAUCGGCCACACUGGAACUGAGACACGGCCCAGACUCCUACGGGAGGCAGCAGUAGGGAAUCUUCGGCAAUGGACGAAAGUCUGACCGAGCAACGCCGCGUGAGUGAAGAAGGUUUUCGGAUCGUAAAGCUCUGUUGUAAGAGAAGAACGGGUGUGAGAGUGGAAAGUUCACACUGAGACGGGAUCUUACCAGAAAGGGACGGCAAACUACG